ACCUGGCUGGCUCAGUCGGUGGAGCAUGCGACUCUUGAUCUCAGGGUCCUGAGUUUGAGUCUCAUGUUGGGUG
RNAcentral lists this transfer RNA (73 nucleotides) under Felis catus (domestic cat). It matches the Rfam family "tRNA". From Rfam's summary of the family: Transfer RNA (tRNA) molecules are approximately 80 nucleotides in length. Their secondary structure includes four short double-helical elements and three loops (D, anti-codon, and T loops). The record is from Rfam by way of RNAcentral. Lineage: Eukaryota; Metazoa; Chordata; Mammalia; Carnivora; Felidae.